This 76-nucleotide transfer RNA is filed under the name Deltaproteobacteria bacterium RIFCSPHIGHO2_12_FULL_43_9. RNAcentral describes it as "tRNA-Ala". It matches the Rfam family "tRNA". Rfam says of the family: Transfer RNA (tRNA) molecules are approximately 80 nucleotides in length. Their secondary structure includes four short double-helical elements and three loops (D, anti-codon, and T loops). Further hydrogen bonds mediate the characteristic L-shaped molecular structure. tRNAs have two regions of fundamental functional importance: the anti-codon, which is responsible for specific mRNA codon recognition, and the 3' end, to which the tRNAs corresponding amino acid is attached (by aminoacyl-tRNA synthetases). tRNAs cope with the degeneracy of the genetic code in two manners: having more than one tRNA (with a specific anti-codon) for a particular amino acid; and 'wobble' base-pairing, i.e. permitting non-standard base-pairing at the 3rd anti-codon position. The record is from RNAcentral. Lineage: Bacteria; Deltaproteobacteria.
GGGGCAGUAGCUCAGCUGGUAGAGCGCAGCCUUCGCAAGGCUGAGGCCGGCGGUUCGACUCCGCUCUGCUCCACCA